AUGGCGGCGAGUAGUCAAACUGAGGAGAGCAUGAUGAACUACGAUUCUCCGGCGUGCGGCGGCGCGGCAGAGACGGUCAUCGAGGACCUCCCCACGGACGUGCUGUCCCUCGUGCUCCGCCGGCUCGACGGCGCGUCGCUGGCGGCGCUCGGCUGCGCGAGCUCCAGCUUCCACGACCUCGCCACCGACCCCGACACAUGGCGCGGACUCUGCCUCGCCUUGUGGCCGUCGGUCGCCGGCCUCCUCGACAAUUCUUGCUGCCGCGGCACCGGUGACGGCUUCCACCGGGCGCUCUUCGCCGACGCGUUCCCGUUCCCAGCGACAGCGGCGGCGGCGGCCACGGCCACGGUCGCGCCCGCCCUGCCCAGCCGGCUCGUCUCCGCCGUGGACCUGCACCACAAGGGGGUCUGCAUCAUAUCGCGCGUGGUGGAGACGGACGCCUCGUCGGCGUGGUUCCUGGGCUCGCCGUUCCGCGUCGACGCGCUCCUGCAGGAGGGCUUCUCGGCAGCGUCCUCGAUCACGCCGGCGGAGCUGACGCUGAGCUGGCUGCUUCUCGACCCGACGUCAGGCCGGGCGGUCAACGCCUCCAGCCGGCGGCCGGUGUCCGUUGACCGGAGCUGGCUCACGGGAGAGACCGUGGUGCGGUUCACCGUGGUGCUCGGCGGCGUCGCCCUGGACGCGGCCGUCACGUGCGACGACCGGUUUGGGCACGUCCGGGAGGUCAGCCUGUGCGUGGAGGACGGUGACGGCGGCGGCGUCAGCGGGCGGGACGGGCUGGCGGCGGUCGCCGCGGCCAUGGCCGCCCCGAGGCAGGGCCGGGGCGCGGAGGCGGAGGCACAGGCGGCGCGGCAGUACGGGGAGUUGGUGAAAGGGAAGAGCGCGCGGAAGGAGUGGAAGGCGAGGCGGGAGGGGCUCGUCGACCUCUGCUGCUCCGGCGUCGGAGCGGCGGCGUUCGUCGGGUUCCUGGUGAUGCUCACGUGCCGGUGA
Molecule: ribosomal RNA, 987 nt
Filed under: Triticum aestivum (bread wheat)
Lineage: Eukaryota; Viridiplantae; Streptophyta; Magnoliopsida; Poales; Poaceae
Description: partial small subunit ribosomal RNA
Source: RNAcentral